Long non-coding RNA from Drosophila montana, 256 nucleotides. RefSeq lists it as uncharacterized. The transcript is spliced from 2 exons. NCBI's taxonomy places the organism in Eukaryota, Metazoa, Arthropoda, Insecta, Diptera, Drosophilidae. The record is from RefSeq and is a predicted model, not a curated record.
AGAAUUUUAUGAUAAAAAAAGUCUCAAUGCAGCGGCAGAUAAAGCCAAAGAAGCUGAAAAUCAAAAAAAAACUCGGCUUUCGAAGAAGUUAGUGGAAAAAAAUCAUUAAAAUAAAGGUUCCUGGCGAAAAUCAGACAACCUCAUCAUAAUCAAUUAAUUUACCAUUUGAAUUAAUAGUUUCAAUGUAUUGUUAUGUUAAACAAAAUCAUUGAAAGUAUAAAAUAUUUGUAAUAAAAAGCAUUUUUUGAAUCAAGAA